Molecule: ribosomal RNA, 301 nt
Filed under: uncultured bacterium
Lineage: Bacteria
Description: partial 16S ribosomal RNA
Rfam family: Bacterial small subunit ribosomal RNA
Source: RNAcentral
CAGUAGCCGCGGUAAUACGAAGGGUGCAAGCGUUAAUCGGAAUUACUGGGCGUAAAGCGUGCGUAGGCGGUUUGUUAAGUCUGUUGUGAAAUCCCCGGGCUCAACCUGGGAAUGGCAAUGGAUACUGGCAAGCUAGAGUGUGUCAGAGGAUGGUGGAAUUCCCGGUGUAGCGGUGAAAUGCGUAGAGAUCGGGAGGAACAUCAGUGGCGAAGGCGGCCAUCUGGGACAACACUGACGCUGAGGCACGAAAGCGUGGGGAGCAAACAGGAUUAGAUACCCCAGUAGUCCCUGUCUCUUAUAC